Molecule: ribosomal RNA, 881 nt
Filed under: uncultured euryarchaeote
Lineage: Archaea; Methanobacteriati; Methanobacteriota
Description: bacterial SSU rRNA
Rfam family: Archaeal small subunit ribosomal RNA
Source: RNAcentral
AGCCACUGCUAUCGGGCUCCGACUAAGCCAUGCGAGUUUAGGGGCUCCUUCGGGAGCACCGGCGGACGGCUCAGUAACACGUGGACAACCUACCCUCGGGUGGGGGAUAACCUCGGGAAACUGAGGCUAAUACCCCAUAGGCCUCGGAUACUGGAAGGUUCCGAGGCUGAAAGCUCCGGCGCCCGAGGAUGGGUCUGCGGCCUAUCAGGUAGUUGGUGGUGUAAAGGACCACCAAGCCUGCGACGGGUACGAGCCCUGAGAGGGGGAGCCCGGAGAUGGACUCUGAGACACGAGUCCAGGCCCUACGGGGCGCAGCAGGCGCGAAACCUUCGCAAAGCGCGAAAGCGCGACGAGGGGAGCCCGAGUGCCCUUCCUUCGGGGAGGGCUUUUCUGGAGCCUAAAAAGCUCCAGGAAUAAGGGCUGGGCAAGACGGGUGCCAGCCGCCGCGGUAAUACCCGCAGCUCAAGUGGUGGCCACUAUUAUUGAGCCUAAAGCGUCCGUAGCCGGACCCGUAAAUCCCUGGGUAAAUCCUGGCGCUCAACGUCAGGAAUUCCGGGGAGACUGCGGGUCUUGGGACCGGGAGAGGCCGGAGGUACUCCCGGGGUAGCGGUGAAAUGCUGUAAUCCUGGGGGGACCACCUGUGGCGAAAGCGUCCGGCUUGAACGGCUCCGACGGUGAGGGACGAAGGCCAGGGGAGCGAACCGGAUUAGAUACCCGGGUAGUCCUGGCUGUAAACGCUGCCCGCUUGGUGUUGCCGGUCUCUCGGGGGCCGGCAGUGCCGGAGCGAAGGUGUUAAGCGGGCCGCUUGGGAAGUACGGCCGCAAGGCUGAAACUUAAAGGAAUUGGCGGGAGAGCACUGCAACGGGAGGAGCGUGCGGUUU